AUUGAACGCUGGCGGCAUGCUUUACACAUGCAAGUCGAACGGUAACAGGCCUUCGGGUGCUGACGAGUGGCGCACGGGUGAGUAAUGCAUCGGAACGUACCCAGAGGUGGGGGAUAACGCAGCGAAAGCUGUGCUAAUACCGCAUGUGAUCUGAGGAUGAAAGCGGGGGACCGAGCAGCAAUGUUUGGCCUCGCGCCUUUGGAGCGGCCGAUGUCGGAUUAGCUAGUUGGUGGGGUAAAGGCCUACCAAGGCGACGAUCCGUAGCUGGUCUGAGAGGACGACCAGCCACACUGGGACUGAGACACGGCCCAGACUCCUACGGGAGGCAGCAGUGGGGAAUUUUGGACAAUGGGCGCAAGCCUGAUCCAGCAAUGCCGCGUGCGGGAAGAAGGCCUUCGGGUUGUAAAACGCUUUUGGCAGGAACGAAACGGUGUCCGCUAAUACCGGGCGCUAAUGACGGUACCUGCAGAAUAAGCACCGGCUAACUACGUG
RNAcentral lists this ribosomal RNA (492 nucleotides) under uncultured bacterium. RNAcentral's name for it is "partial 16S ribosomal RNA". It matches the Rfam family "Bacterial small subunit ribosomal RNA", at positions 29 to 507 of the family's 1533-position model. The record is from RNAcentral.